UACGUAGGGUGCAAGCGUUGUCCGGAAUUAUUGGGCGUAAAGAGCUCGUAGGCGGUUUGUCGCGUCUGCUGUGAAAUCUGGAGGCUCAACCUCCAGCCUGCAGUGGGUACGGGCAGACUAGAGUGCGGUAGGGGAGAUUGGAACUCCUGGUGUAGCGGUGGAAUGCGCAGAUAUCAGGAAGAACACCGAUGGCGAAGGCAGGUCUCUGGGCCGUAACUGACGCUGAGGAGCGAAAGCAUGGGGAGCGAACAGG
RNAcentral lists this ribosomal RNA (253 nucleotides) under uncultured bacterium. RNAcentral's name for it is "partial 16S ribosomal RNA". It matches the Rfam family "Bacterial small subunit ribosomal RNA", at positions 524 to 776 of the family's 1533-position model. The record is from RNAcentral.